GUGUCAGCCGCCGCGGUAAUACGGAGGGUGCAAGCGUUGUUCGGAAUUACUGGGCGUAAAGCGCGCGUAGGCGGUUUGUCAAGUCAGAUGUGAAAGCCCUCGGCUCAACCGGGGACGUGCAUUUGAAACUGGCAGACUUGAGUACUGGAGGGGGUGGUGGAAUUCCCGGUGUAGAGGUGAAAUUCGUAGAUAUCGGGAGGAAUACCGGUGGCGAAGGCGACUGCCUGGCCAGAUACUGACGCUGAGGUGCGAAAGCGUGGGGAGCAAACAGGAUUAGAUACCCGUGUAGUCC
Molecule: ribosomal RNA, 292 nt
Filed under: uncultured bacterium
Lineage: Bacteria
Description: partial 16S ribosomal RNA
Rfam family: Bacterial small subunit ribosomal RNA
Source: RNAcentral